CCCUUAGAUGUUCUGGGCCGCACGCGUGCUACACUGACCGGCGCAACAAGCUUCUUUCCUUGGCUCGAUAGGCCUGGGUAAUCUUUGAACGCCGGUCGUGAUGGGGAUAGAUCCUUGCAAUUUUUGAUCUUCAACGAGGAAUUCCUAGUAAAUGCGAGUCAUCAUCUCGCGUUGAUUACGUCCCUGCCCUUUGUACACACCGCCCGUCGCACCUACCGAUUGAAUGGUCCGGUGAAAUCUCGGGACGGCGGCUUGGUCGCUUGCGUCCGACUGCUGAAACUUGAUUAAACCAUAUCAUUUAGAGGAAGGUGAAGUCGUAACA
RNAcentral lists this ribosomal RNA (322 nucleotides) under uncultured eukaryote. Its description in RNAcentral is "partial 18S ribosomal RNA". It matches the Rfam family "Eukaryotic small subunit ribosomal RNA", at positions 1470 to 1796 of the family's 1831-position model. The record is from RNAcentral.